CAGCCGCCGCGGUAAUACAGAGGGUGCGAGCGUUAAUCGGAUUUACUGGGCGUAAAGCGUGCGUAGGCGGCUUUUUAAGUCGGAUGUGAAAUCCCUGAGCUUAACUUGGAAUUGCAUUCGAUACUGGGAAGCUAGAGUAUGGGAGAGGAUGGUAGAAUUCCAGGUGUAGCGGUGAAAUGCGUAGAGAUCUGGAGGAAUACCGAUGGCGAAGGCAGCCAUCUGGCCUAAUACUGACGCUGAGGUACGAAAGCAUGGGGAGCAAACAGGAUUAGAUACCCCCGUAGUCCCUGUCUCUUAUACA
This 301-nucleotide ribosomal RNA is filed under the name uncultured bacterium. RNAcentral's name for it is "partial 16S ribosomal RNA". It matches the Rfam family "Bacterial small subunit ribosomal RNA", at positions 509 to 808 of the family's 1533-position model. The record is from RNAcentral.